CUGUACUACCACUUUCAAGUCUCCUUCAGAUCUCUCUCCCAUUUGCUGAAUUUAUCUCUGGUAGAAAUCUGGUCUGGUCUUUUGCAAAAUCAGAGCAUGUGGGAUACUUUCAAAAAUCACAAACAAAUAGUUUCUGCUUUGUUCUUUUUCCUGAAAAUACUGGAAAACAAAAACUGGUUGUGAGAGACCAGAGAAGGAGCAUAGCUCAUUUCCUUAGAUGAGACCUUUUUUUUUUUUUUUUAACAGGACCACCUGAAUUGUUGUCCUAAAGAUGUCAGCUCUUAAUUGAAGUCAGGGAAGUCUAGACUAGGGGAGGAGCAAGGAGGCUAAGCCAGUUUUAAUUGGUGUAAAUUUGCAGCCACCAGUGAUUAGAGGUGGCUGUGUGAGGAGCACCAGGAGAGAUAAAGGGUUUGAAGGGAGACUAUGGGCCUCUCCAGGUCCUGUCAUCCCUUCUGAAAAGGGGGAUUUGUUAUCACCAGGUGCCAUUGUUACUGCUUUCCCUCUCAGUAACCAAAUCUAAUAGCUGUCCUGCCUUUCGUAUUGCUGUAUGGAUUUAAAUGUCUCUUUAGGAAAAUUUUUCACAGCCUUGGUUGACAAAACAUUGUGUGUGGAUGACCCAGCAAAGUUGACAUCUGUCUAAAACUGCAUUUUCAUGAAUCACAAACUGGAGACUGAAGCUUGUGCGUUCCUUAAGCCUGGAGUGUGCUUGGAUCUCUGGCUUGGUUUAUUCCCACAUCCUGAUUUAAUUGUUAACUUAAGGUACAGGUGUCUUGACUCUGUUACUGAAUCCACAAGGUGGAAGAAGUCCAAGGCUGAAUGGAGCAUCAUUCCCCAGCAACUCGUACCAGAUGUUAAAGAAAUGAAUAGAAAUGAAAGUCAGCAUUCCCUGGGACAAAAGUAUCAAGGUAUUUCCUAGGCUUUUGUUUCGUUGUUUGAAAGCUUUUGUGUGUCCUGUGUUUUGGUUAUUGACAGUUUUUCACUUCAGUCUGAGAGAUAGGAGGACAGUUUGCACUGUAGAUGGCUGUUAUUAAUUAAAAUGAGGAAUGAUGACAUUAAAACCAGAAAUGGUGAGUCCAGUCACAAGGAUGAGUGUUAGGAGAAGAGGGGUGGUUAAUGUUGAGCCCUCUGUUGCCAGCAUGUCGGUCACCAGCUUGUCGUGUGCAGGCUUUGACAGUCAACUGCAGUAGGACAGAGCUUCUGAUUCUGCCCCACAGCUUCGUUACAUGAGCCCCACCAGGGCUACACAUACACGUCUUAAUUUUGAAAAGCUGUCAUGCUUUCCAUGACCUUUCUGAAAUCCUUUUUCUGCUGAUCUUCAACUGGUUGUUACCACGUUGCAGGUGCUUCUUGUGGGCUCUUAAA
RNAcentral lists this long non-coding RNA (1362 nucleotides) under Anser brachyrhynchus (Pink-footed goose). RNAcentral describes it as "lncRNA (ENSABRG00000013917.1)". The record is from RNAcentral. Lineage: Eukaryota; Metazoa; Chordata; Aves; Anseriformes; Anatidae.